RNAcentral lists this transfer RNA (74 nucleotides) under Oscillibacter sp. RNAcentral's name for it is "tRNA-Gly". It matches the Rfam family "tRNA". Rfam says of the family: Transfer RNA (tRNA) molecules are approximately 80 nucleotides in length. Their secondary structure includes four short double-helical elements and three loops (D, anti-codon, and T loops). Lineage: Bacteria; Bacillati; Bacillota; Clostridia; Eubacteriales; Oscillospiraceae. RNAcentral also lists the same sequence under 1 other name. The record is from RNAcentral.
GCAGGGUUAGUACAUCGGUAGUACAACGGCUUCCCAAGCCGUGGAGGCGGGUUCGAUUCCCGUACCCUGCUCCA